This 253-nucleotide ribosomal RNA is filed under the name uncultured bacterium. RNAcentral describes it as "partial 16S ribosomal RNA". It matches the Rfam family "Bacterial small subunit ribosomal RNA", at positions 524 to 776 of the family's 1533-position model. The record is from RNAcentral.
UACGAAGGGUGCUAGCGUUGUUCGGAAUUACUGGGCGUAAAGCGCGCGUAGGCGGCUUUUCAAGUCAGGGGUGAAAUCCCACGGCUCAACCGUGGAAUUGCCCUUGAAACUGUGAAGCUAGAGUGUCGGAGGGGAUAGCGGAAUUGCUAAUGUAGAGGUGAAAUUCGUAGAUAUUAGCAGGAACACCGGUGGCGAAGGCGGCUAUCUGGACGACAACUGACGCUGAGGCGCGAAAGCGCGGGGAUCAAACAGG